GAUGAACGCUGGCGGCGUGCCUAACACAUGCAAGUCGAGCGCGAUUAAGUGGAGUGAGAACUUCGGUUCAAGUGAAACUUAUGAAAGCGGCGGACGGGUGAGUAACGCGUGGGUAACCUGCCCCAUACAAAGGGAUAGCCACUGGAAACGGUGAUUAAUACCUUAUAAGUCGGUAGUCUCGCAUGAGACAGCCGACAAAGAUUUAUCGGUAUGGGAUGGACCCGCGUCUGAUUAGCUAGUUGGUGAGGUAACGGCUCACCAAGGCGACGAUCAGUAGCCGACCUGAGAGGGUGAUCGGCCACACUGGAACUGAGACACGGUCCAGACUCCUACGGGAGGCAGCAGUGGGGAAUAUUGCACAAUGGGCGCAAGCCUGAUGCAGCAACGCCGCGUGAGUGAUGAAGGCUUUCGGGUCGUAAAACUCUGUCCUAUGGGAAGAAAAAAUAGACGGUACCAUAGGAGGAAGCCCGGCUAACUACGUGCCAGCAGCCG
Molecule: ribosomal RNA, 492 nt
Filed under: uncultured bacterium
Lineage: Bacteria
Description: bacterial SSU rRNA
Rfam family: Bacterial small subunit ribosomal RNA
Source: RNAcentral